RNAcentral lists this long non-coding RNA (3034 nucleotides) under Pongo abelii (Sumatran orangutan). Its description in RNAcentral is "lncRNA (ENSPPYG00000040349.1)". Lineage: Eukaryota; Metazoa; Chordata; Mammalia; Primates; Hominidae. The record is from RNAcentral.
UCUAAUAGAAACCCCACACAUCCUUCUCUUUUCUUGGAUUUUACCCUAUGAAACCACCUGCAGCUCCUAAUAGGCUCAUAUAUAAGGUGUCAAGGUGUGAUAAAAUACCUUUUCAGAUAAAUUACUGGCCUUAAGAGGACUUCUUUUUUUUUUUUUAAAUGUUUUCCCACCUGUGUCUCUGGCUUGGAUUAUUCUUGGACACAUGUAAUUAAUUGGAGGGGCACUCCUAAGUAGGCACAAUUCCCAUUUAAUGUGGAAUAAAAGGCAUAAAAUGCUGUUAGGAAGAAGGGUGGUGGUUUCUUUGAUAUUGUGAAAUGCAAAGAAGGACAGCAGCACAUUUGGAAUGGGAACCAAAAGAGAGCUGUCUGGCAAUAUACCAGGACAGCCAACAUCUUGGUAAGUUAUAUAUACACUUGUCUAUGACAAAGGAAAAAGUGUUGGAAGGGUUCCAAUAGCCCCGGGGUUUUUGGAUACGAGCCAAAUGGUCACAUAGACCACCCAGAAUCUGCAAAUGUUGGGCAGUUACAUCCUUUAAAGUCACAUAAUUCAGUCCACGACCAUGUGCAAUUUACGGUAACAAUGUUCAUGCCCAGGCAAUGUAUUUGGGGUCAGAAAAAGCAGAAUGUGCCACUGAGAGAAACCUGUUCCCUAUAUAACUGGUCUUCAUGCUUUCAAGUGGCCUUAAUAUACCUUGGAUACUAAGCCAAGCCAUGCAAAAGCAAAGAGCACACACUUUUCAUUAACAUUGGUAUCUCAUUUCUAAACCACUGACCUCAGAGUUGCCAUAGAAACAUAUUAACACGAGUACUGAAAGCAUACAGGGUUCACGGAUUUCUAAGAAAUGCAUUUCCCUUGUCUAUGUUCAUCAGCCUUUAAUACUUUGGCUACAAGGCAUAUCAGAGAAAGGGAGGUUAAAUUGGGUAAUGACAAAAGAACAUAUGUAACUCUGGAAAUAGGAAAAAUGUUCCAGAAACGGGAUCAAUGUGCCAGCAAUAAGCAUAGUUCAUUUCAUUUGAAAAUUCAGUUAAAGAGCCCAAUAAACAGUUCCAAACCAUGUUAUCACCUGCAUAAUUUACAUAAACAUUAAAACACUUGCACUUUAUAGACAAAACACACUUUUGUAAACAUGGCCACUGGGGGAGAGAGGCUCCCUACCUCAUUCAUGAUUGAGGACAUGUGAUCAUUUAUAUUAAAUAAAAUUAUUUCACUGCAAAAUAUCUCAAACCUGACCAAUGAUUAAGCUUCAUUUCCCCCUGUUUAACAUUUAAGUAUUAAUUCUAAAAAUGUCACCUAGGAUGGUUUCAGGGUUAGAUGCUAGGACCACAACUGGUAAUGACAGCAACUUCUCUCUAGCUGGCACAGACCUAUAAACUUUAGUACAAAAACAAAAAAAUACAGAAACUAGGUCAAUUUGUUAGCUACAUAUUUACAGAUAAUUACAUGAUUUUUCACUCACAAGUGCUAAACACUUUGAGUGAAAGAAAACUGUGCAGGUUGAAUUACCCGUACUUUGGGGGGAAUUCUGGGCAUCAAGAUACCCUUUUUCAUUCAUUCAAAAGUCUCAUCUUCUCUCCACUUUUUCAUGACAAACUACCUACAGAUGUUCAGAUUAGUAUAUCCAGUGGGCAUCCUGGUGUUUCAGUGAGGAUUAACCUUUUUCUCUAUUUAAAGAAUUCCUUGUAUAUUUAAAAACAAAACAAUACAAUCACACAGACAUAUAUAAAAAAAAAUACACCUCUGAAACUUCAAAAAGUUUAGAUUGCUGGGAAACAGUUAACAGUGAUGGUGACAUAGUAAAUGGCUCCCCAGUUUUAAUUCUCUGCCUUUAUUUUCUUUAAAGGAUAUCUAUCUUUGGGUGGGUAGGAAGUGCAAGUUUAAGAAACCCACAACAGGCAGAUAAGGUGCAUACUAAUUUAUAUACUUCUUAUGAUCUAAAGACUACUGUUAAGCUAAAUGGAGUCUCUUCCCUUGUAUGAGUAAAAUUUUGGAAAUCUGAAUACGAACAAGGAGGAAAACAUUAGUCAACAUGACUUUAAAGGGAACUACCAGAAUUCAGCAGAAAAUAUAAAUGCACAAUAAAGGAAGAGUUCUCAGCUUCACUUUCUUUUUCUAGACAGUGUUUAAUAAAACUUCUUUACAAAUUAAUAGUCAUUUCCAAUGCAGACCUAUUGUAGUGAUUUCAUAAAAGUGCAGACAACAUAACCAGACACAGCAAAACAGACUUCAAUCAGUAGUCCUUGCAUACAAGAGGCAAGUCCGCUAAGUGUACAGCCAACUCUUCAUCCUUUAAGGAAUCUGAGGAUGGGAAAUUUCCAGUUCUUAUAAACUAAGAGUGAGUGAGUCUCUUUUAAAAGGCAAUGCUGCAACCUGGUUGGGGGCACUAUCAAGUUAGAUGGGGGAAAACAAAACAGAUAAUUUGUUUUUCUUCAAUAAUGGUCUGUAUUUUGGUAAACAGCUCAAAGAUGACAGCCCAAGUUUUGACAUUGCUCUUGGAGAAGGCUCUUUUCUAUCUAAGAGAAGAGAACCUCUUCUUCCAUCAUUAUAGGAGAUUCACACUUAUAUACCUUAAAUAUAUUAUUUUUUGAUUUGAAUACAGAAGACACUUCACAUUGUGAGCAUAGGACAAAAUGCAGGACCAUAUAAAUCUCCAAGGAAAAAGUUAAUGUGUUGGGGCAAAUCUCUACUUGAAUAGUAGUGGCUCAGAAGUGGUGGAAGGUGCACAAAGAACUUACUAUUAGCAAGCAAGAAGAGGCAGGUAAAGGGAGAAAGCCCCUCACCCAAUACCAAGUCCUUCUCUCCCAGUGGCCAUUUCCUGUUGAUUUUACAGUUUAGGAGAAUCUUAGAUGCUUUAGCAGUAAUUCCUUUCUUGGCUGUUUUGAUCCUCAGCAAAGUAUAUAAUUAUUAGUAUUAAUGGAGUAAAAAAAGUAAGAGGAUCAAUGGUAUCACUACUAAGAAAUACACAUAGAAAGCACAUAAAGAUUGUGUGAUUUACUGGUUCUUUUUUUUUUUUAUCAUCUUUGCAGAGGAAUCACCA